UNUGACUUGAGUGCAGAAGGGGAGAGUGGAAUUCCAUGUGUAGCGGUGAAAUGCGUAGAUAUAUGGAGGAACACCAGUGGCGAAAGCGGCUCUCUGGUCUGUCACUGACGCUGAGGCUCGAAAGCGUGGGUAGCGAACAGGAUUAGAUACCCUGGUAGUNCACGCCGUAAACGAUGAGUGCUAGGUGUUAGGCCCUUUCCGGGGCUUAGUGCCGGAGCUAACGCAAUAAGCACUCCGCCUGGGGAGUACGACCGCAAGGUUGAAACUCAAAGGAAUUGACGGGGGCCCGCACAAGCGGUGGAGCAUGUGGUUUAAUUCGAAGCAACGCGAAGAACCUUACCAGGUCUUGACAUCCCGAUGCUAUUCUUAGAGAUAGGAAGUUACUUCGGUACAUCGGAGACAGGUGGUGCAUGGUUGUCGUCAGCUCGUGUCGUGAGAUGUUGGGUUAAGUCCCGCAACGAGCGCAACCCUUAUUGUUAGUUGCCAUCAUUAAGUUGGGCACUCUAGCGAGACUGCCGGUAAUAAACCGGAGGAAGGUGGGGAUGACGUCAAAUCAUCAUGCCCCUUAUGACCUGGGCUACACACGUGCUACAAUGGUCGGUACAACGAGUUGCGAGCCGGUGACGGCAAUCUAAUCUCUGAAAGCCGAUCUCAGUUCGGAUUGGAGGCUGCAACUCGCCUCCAUGAAGUCGGAAUCGCUAGUAAUCGCGGAUCAGCACGCCGCGGUGAAUACGUUCCCGGGCCUUGUACACACCGCCCGUCACACCACGAGAGUUUGUAACACCCGAAGUCG
This 793-nucleotide ribosomal RNA is filed under the name uncultured bacterium. RNAcentral describes it as "bacterial SSU rRNA". It matches the Rfam family "Bacterial small subunit ribosomal RNA", at positions 636 to 1429 of the family's 1533-position model. The record is from RNAcentral.